UCCCAGUUCGGAUUGCAGGCUGCAACCCGCCCGUAUGAAGUUGGAAUCGCUGUAAUCGCGGAUCAGCAUGCCGCGGUGAAUACGUUCCCGGGCCUUGUACACACCGCCCGUCACACCAUGAGAGUCGGGAACACCCGAAGUCCGUAGUCUAACCGCAAGGGGACGCGGCCGAAGGUGGGUUCGAUAAUUGGGGUGAAGUCGUAACAAGGUAGC
This 213-nucleotide ribosomal RNA is filed under the name uncultured bacterium. RNAcentral's name for it is "partial 16S ribosomal RNA". It matches the Rfam family "Bacterial small subunit ribosomal RNA", at positions 1286 to 1500 of the family's 1533-position model. The record is from RNAcentral.